UGUUAAUAUUUUCUUUACUAAAAAUCACACACACAUUAACAAAACUGGCACCUGAGAAUGUUAUUUGUAUCUAGAAAGCACUGACAUACAGGUUACAGAAAUCCUUCUGCCAGCAAGGUAUGUUUACAGGUCUAUCCAAUUCAAACAGUCUGUGCCUUUCCAAUUUAAUCAUCUUUGGGAGGGAUUCCCUGUUGGCACUGUGUAUUAUCUGGAAGAUGAAAUGUUAAUCUGCUGUAAUUUUUUUUCAGUAAAACGCCUCAUCUGCAUUUCUACCUUCUGAGACUGCAGCAUGUGACAAGAAAUUUGAAUAGCCAUGCUGCCAGCUCAUGCUUCCCUUGGGAGAGGGCAACCCAGGAACCUCAGAAGGUUUUUGCUUUCUGUAAAUAAUAUGGAAGAGAGAACCUAGAAGAAUCCUAGUCACACCUUUUCCAGGGCGAGUAGGAUUUUGGCCACUGAGAAAGUGUUAAACUAAGGAAGGAAACUGUAUGGGCUAAAGUGAAAGAAAUCUUCUGGUGGAAAACCACAGGGAUUGGGAAAAGAUAGGAAAACAGAGCAUAGUGGAUGGAGACCAGCAUUGUGAAGAGCAAGAACACUUAUCAUGCACACUGCUGAUCAUCUCCUGAUCUCCAGAAGGUUGAGGUCCUUUACAUUAAAGAAAAUAUUAAAACACAACUUGAAUCUGAUUCACUGGAUCUUCUGCCUUCUUGGAAGUUGAAUUCUGUGUCCUCGUUUCUGCUCUCUGACACAAAUAUUUUGAUAGCAUCUGAUAUUUAUAAUCAAUUUUAUGUUACCCAGACUUUACUACUAGUUCUUCAUUUGCUUCUGCUUCUACAUACUGAGCGAAUCUUGAGAAAAAUUAGAGAAUUACCAAAAUACCUCAGCUGUGUGCCUGCCAACCACAACUAAGAAAAUUGCUUUCAUUAAAAUAAAACAAAAUA
Molecule: long non-coding RNA, 938 nt
Filed under: Anas platyrhynchos (mallard)
Lineage: Eukaryota; Metazoa; Chordata; Aves; Anseriformes; Anatidae
Description: lncRNA (ENSAPLG00020001535.1)
Source: RNAcentral